Molecule: long non-coding RNA, 1152 nt
Filed under: Oryctolagus cuniculus (rabbit)
Lineage: Eukaryota; Metazoa; Chordata; Mammalia; Lagomorpha; Leporidae
Description: lncRNA (ENSOCUG00000038364.1)
Source: RNAcentral
UCUCCAAAUACAUUCUACAGUACUGAGGGUUGCAACUGUAACAUUCAAAUAUAGGGAGGACACACUUCAACACAUAACAGCCACUUAUAUCACAUAGAGACUGCAAUGAUCUUUCUAGUAUUUCUAUACACUUUGCACUGUAGCUGGUUUUGUUCCCCUAAUUUCUAAACUCUCUGACUUAAAAUCUGUCUGGUCAACCAUUUCUAUGCAGUAGUUCAAAUGAAUUGAUGGUUUUCUGUGAUAUUGCCUCAUAAUUUGCAUCCUUUCCAGAUAUUUGUUCUCAAGCAAAAGUGAAACUCCCUGCAUCAUCACUUCCUCAUUCUGCUGCUGCCCUGGAGCCCUCACACACCCGCCCCAAGAGCCAGAGCCUCGGGGACCAGAAAACCUCACACUCAGCGGCUCAGCUUUUUAAUAAGGACCCUUACAGUCACGCAUCGCCCAGCCAUUGGAAGAGGAUUGAGAAAGCAAAGAUUAAAAUGAUCUGCUUCAAGUUUCUGAUGUCGAAAGAAUUUUUCAGGAAACUUCUGGUCACUUACGGGAUGUGAUUGCAAAAUCUCAAGAAAAUGCAACUGAACUGAGUUCCGGCACAAAGAGCCUUGUGAAGAUUUAUUUCAAGUUCCUAAUAUAAAAGUAGACGUUCUCAGACAAGCCCUGGUAAGUCUGUUACCAUUAAAACCUUGUCUUUUUUUCCAUCUAUCUUUAAAACUUCAUUCUGGAAGCAAAUGUGGAUCUUUAAAAAUGAAUAUACAUUAACGCAUCAAUAAGCAAUUGCUUGAAAAUGAGUCUUAAAGGAAUGAGAGAUAGCACGGCUCUCAUUUCUGUACUGACAUGUCAGGACAUGUGACUUGGGCUGACUGCAGAGUGCUUCAGAGAAAAGUUUCCAGCAGGCUUGGGGAGAUUGCAGAGCAGCUGUGGAGGGGGGAGUCUCGGGAUGAGGCUGGGAGGUGAAGGUGAACUACAGAGCAGAGGAUCAGGAAUCCAAGCAUACUGAACGAAGAGAACACUGCAGCCAGCUACAGCUCUGCAGACACUCUGUUGUGUGGCUUAAGAUGAUGUGAAAAGUUCCUAUCUAAUUAAAGGGAAACCCCUCAAAGCUUAAUCAUCAUUGUGUACAAGACCCGUCUUAGCAACUUCCUUGCACAGAGAUGCUAU